GAGGGUAGUCUUUAUUUUGGUAAAACUAAAUCAAGAUUUUUAGAUCUCCUCUUUCUCUCUCUCUCUUCCGAUCCAAGUAAUCUCCUCGGUGUGUUCAACAACAGUCUCGAGCGCCGACAAUUUACUUCAACAUAAUCUCGAUCUGAGUUUUUCUCGCCUCAAGAUCCGAUAUCAAUUUGCUUCCACUUCCAAUUGAUUCAGUAGCGUUCUGAGCAUCCUUCUGAAUUGUGUUUUUCAUUGAUGUUAUGAUAUGGUUUCCAAGCUUGGAAGCUAGGGUUUCUCUUGGCCAUGGCAACCUCCCAAACUCCGAGUUGGCGGGAGGGUAUGUCCUCUGAUAAUAUUAAGGGAUUGGUUCUUGCUCUUUCCUCUAGUUUCUUUAUUGGUGCUAGCUUCAUUGUUAAGAAAAAGGGCUUGAAGAAAGCCGGCGCUUCAGGAGUCAGAGCAGGAGUUGGAGGCUAUUCUUACUUAUACGAGCCACUAUGGUGGGUGGGCAUGAUUACAAUGAUUGUAGGAGAAAUUGCUAAUUUUGCGGCUUAUGCAUUUGCUCCAGCGUUACUGGUUACUCCACUUGGUGCUCUCAGCAUAAUUAUCAGUGCAGUACUUGCACAUAUUAUUUUGCGGGAGAGGUUGCAUAUUUUUGGAAUUCUUGGAUGCGUUCUUUGUGUAGUGGGUUCCACAACCAUUGUGCUCCAUGCUCCUCAAGAACGUGAAAUUGAAUCUGUAACUGAAGUGUGGCAAAUGGCCAUGGAGCCAGCCUUUCUGUUGUAUGCAGCAUCGGUCAUGACAACUGUGUUUAUACUUAUAUUCCACUUUAUACCACAAUAUGGCCAGACUCACAUUAUGGUUUACAUUGGUGUAUGUUCCCUUGUAGGAUCUUUGUCGGUCAUGAGUGUCAAAGCAAUAGGAAUUGCCUUGAAGCUAACAUUGUCAGGAAUGAACCAGCUAAUAUAUCCUCAAACGUGGAUAUUUACUUUAGUUGUGAUUACUUGUGUGCUCACCCAGAUGAAUUAUUUAAACAAGGUCGUUUCAAGAGUAGACCUUAAUACUCAAGAGGGAUCAAGACUAAGAGGAGAUUACUGUAGUAGUGUUGUGGUGAGUGUUGUGCUGCCAAAAUGAAGAAAAUUAGGGUCAUCUCUUCAUUCAACGUAAGUUAGUUCUUCCAGCUUGUUUUUGCUAUAAUGAGUUUGGAAUGAUGCGGGUUGUUCACAGUUAUAUGAAGGAAUUGGUACAGGGUUGGCGUCUACAUUGUUUAAGAACUUCCACCUCUUUUGAUCUCUCAUAACUGUUAAUCGCACUUGCACUUCCCCCACCUACCUUUUUUUUUAAUUUGUGCUUUUUGUUUGCUCUUGCCCUUUGUUUCUUGUGGUAUUGGGUUUUUGUAAGUUUCUUCAUCUCAGUGGAAGAGGAGUUUCAGUAUUUGGAAAAGACUUGUGGAAAGAGAUUUGGAACAGAGAGUGCCUAAAAAAAAGAUCUUCUUCAUUUGAUCCAUAUGCUGGAAAGGAGUCCACACGUAUGAAAGAGCACAUAAAUGUCAUCCAAACACCUUAAUUUCUCCUAUCUGGUGCUUCCUUGCAAAAAUGGGGGUGAAACUUUAGAUCACUCAUUCUCUAAAUGUGGUAUAAUGUGCAGAUUGACUAUCCUAAAGAUCUUUGGAAUUAAUGGUGCUUCCCAAGAAAUGUUAGGGGGAUUCUUAUUUUUCAGACUUUAUGCAGGAAUCCUUUUUGAGGCACUGGACACUUUUAAUACAGCUGUUGUGUCCCCAAUAUACUACGUUAUGUUCACAUCAUUUACCAUCUUGGCCAGCGUGAU
Non-coding RNA from Cucurbita pepo subsp. pepo (vegetable marrow), 1809 nucleotides. The record is from RefSeq and is a predicted model, not a curated record. NCBI's taxonomy places the organism in Eukaryota, Viridiplantae, Streptophyta, Magnoliopsida, Cucurbitales, Cucurbitaceae.